UCUGUCAAUGGGAAUGAAGUUCUCCCAAGGGAAUUUCCCUGAACUGCUGAACGAUAAGCUGAUGACUUCUACGAUUGU
Molecule: non-coding RNA, 78 nt
Filed under: Roseburia sp. CAG:18
Lineage: Bacteria; Bacillati; Bacillota; Clostridia; Lachnospirales; Lachnospiraceae
Also listed under: 1 other name
Description: Fluoride riboswitch aptamer (crcB RNA motif)
Rfam family: Fluoride riboswitch aptamer (crcB RNA motif)
Source: Rfam by way of RNAcentral